UGGGGGAUAUUGCACAAUGGAGGGAACUCUGAUGCAGCGACGCCGCGUGAGGGAAGAAGGUUUUCGGAUUGUAAACCUCUGUCUUCGGUGACGAAACGAGACGGUAGCCGAGGAGGAAGCCACGGCUAACUACGUGCC
RNAcentral lists this ribosomal RNA (138 nucleotides) under uncultured bacterium. RNAcentral describes it as "partial 16S ribosomal RNA". It matches the Rfam family "Bacterial small subunit ribosomal RNA", at positions 355 to 509 of the family's 1533-position model. The record is from RNAcentral.